RNAcentral lists this transfer RNA (71 nucleotides) under Gymnoscopelus nicholsi. RNAcentral describes it as "tRNA-Val". It matches the Rfam family "tRNA". Rfam says of the family: Transfer RNA (tRNA) molecules are approximately 80 nucleotides in length. Their secondary structure includes four short double-helical elements and three loops (D, anti-codon, and T loops). The record is from RNAcentral. Lineage: Eukaryota; Metazoa; Chordata; Actinopteri; Myctophiformes; Myctophidae.
CAGAGUGUGGCUAAAGAGCAAAGCACCUCCCUUACACCGAGAAGAUGUCCGUGCAACUCGGACCACCCUGA